GGAGGCGCGUGGCUCGCUGGUGCGGUCCCCGGUCUUCAAAACCGGUGCGGGGCGCGAGGAGCGUCCUGGGCAGGUUCGAUCCCUGUGCGCCUCCGC
Molecule: transfer RNA, 96 nt
Filed under: Nannocystis sp.
Lineage: Bacteria; Pseudomonadati; Myxococcota; Nannocystales; Nannocystaceae
Description: tRNA-Sec
Rfam family: Selenocysteine transfer RNA
Source: RNAcentral